Octopus sinensis (East Asian common octopus) is the source of this 228-nucleotide long non-coding RNA. RefSeq lists it as uncharacterized. The record is from RefSeq and is a predicted model, not a curated record. Lineage: Eukaryota; Metazoa; Mollusca; Cephalopoda; Octopoda; Octopodidae. The transcript has 3 exons.
AAAUCUUAUUCAGUGAGCUCACUUCAGGAAAAAGACCCUCUUCAAAGAUACAUGGACCAACUCUAAGCAACACUGUAAGCCACUGGGAUUGAUCUUAAAUUGUUUGAAACACAAGCCUGAAACUGUACCGAGUGGUGGUGUUCCAUCAUCAUCAGAACCAAAAACUUCAAAGCCACCAGAAAAGAAAAGGAGGAAAUCAGAUGACAGGCAAAUCAUGCUGGACAAAAU